Salvelinus fontinalis (brook trout) is the source of this 887-nucleotide long non-coding RNA. RefSeq lists it as uncharacterized. NCBI's taxonomy places the organism in Eukaryota, Metazoa, Chordata, Actinopteri, Salmoniformes, Salmonidae. The transcript is spliced from 3 exons. The record is from RefSeq and is a predicted model, not a curated record.
CCCCCGUGUUAUAAUAAAUUAUCUGAGAACUGAACCAUCCACCUCCUGUGUCUGCAUCUGGGUCAUAUCCUGAGUCGUGAUAGUAAUGAAUGAACAGACAUGAUGCGUGACAUGCGGAACAUCAGGCUCACCCCACGAGAAGCAGUGCAUAAUCAACGCCACCUGUAGCAAGGAGAUCUUCUGGAAGUGAUGUACUCUCUCGCACUCUGGUGACCCUCCCUUGGUUGUAUUCUCUGCCAGAGGUCGUCACAUUGGAUGGAGAUGGUGAAGAUGGCUUUGGUGGUCCACACAACGAAGAAGCAGGUGUCCCUUCCAGUGAUGUGGAGUUGACCUUGGACCUGGUGCCAGUAAGGAUGGUCUUUACGGAGGCUGUAAGACACUCCCUCCUUGAUAUAGAAAUCUUCGACUUCAUUGCCUCUUGAAUGGUCAGGUCCCUUGCACCAUAAUGACACUUGACCUGCACCACUGCUGUGGUGCCCACCAGACCAUCCGGUGAGGCUCCCAGGAUCCAAAGACCCUGUGACCCAAAGCCAUGACUCCUGCACAUCCAUCCCUGUAGACAUUUUGAAUGCCUUAAUGUCCUCCUCUUCGUUAUCUGUGCCCCACUUUAUAGACAACACCACAUCCAACGACUGAACACCUUGAAAUGCAUUCAUUGUAAGAUAUGUGCUAUAUAAAUGAAGUUUGAUUUGAUUGAUGACAUUACAGCUGUACAAUAUUUAAUAAACUGUCAUUUUUACAUGAGGACAAGUUCACUUUUUCCAUGAACAUUUAAUUGAUAACUUGGGAUUUUAUCACUUGACAUAUCAAUCUUAUAGUGGGAAGGAUCCUUUAAGUCUGUGUGAAUGCAUGUACCACUCUGAAUAAAUACAUAUUGUGCCUUUGAA